Molecule: unclassified non-coding RNA, 1104 nt
Filed under: Hevea brasiliensis (rubber tree)
Lineage: Eukaryota; Viridiplantae; Streptophyta; Magnoliopsida; Malpighiales; Euphorbiaceae
Source: RNAcentral
AAAAAUGGUCCAUAUCUUAUUUUCGAAGCAGCCACUACAACUGUAUUUUCUCCUUAGAGAGAUGCAAAAAAAGGAAAAGACAAGGAUAUACUACACUAGGGAAAUUUCUCUGACUAAGAAGAAUAAAUGUAUAAAUAUCUACAACCAAUUCUAAGCCAGACUUUGAAGAUCAUCAGGUUGCCACAUCCGAAUGCCUGAAUUCUGCAAUGCCGCAAGAAUAAAAAUGAUUCCACCGGUGGGCAACAAUAAUCAAAGAAGCAGCAACUAUCUAGCAUAAAUAGUCUUGGGCCUCUUGGCACAACUCAGCAAGGCAGAAUAGAUUGCCAGAGUCAGCGAUUGACGAGACCCUGCAGUGCCAGUUCAUCAAAACAAUGGAAUCGUCCACCUUCAUGCCUUGGAACUAGUCCGAACAAAGUUAAGGCGAGUGAGAUAAUUGCUUUCAGCGAAAUCAUGUAAUGUGCGUGGUGCUCGUGCUCCAUCAUGACCCAGUUUACCAUAUUCUUCCUUCAACAACCUCCUACCUUCAUCAGCCUCCUGUAAGAACUUCAUCAUUUGCUCCUCAAUUGUGCCACUCAUCGCCAGUGUUUCCACGAGAAUAGGACGUGUAGCACCCAUCCGAUGAGCACGACUGAUCACCUGUUCCUCCAUACUUUUGUCCCAAAUUGGCUCCAUUAAAUAAACAUGUGUCACAAAGCUCAGAUCAAGACCUAAAGCUGCACUUCCGUCCAUUAAAAGAGCCAUGCAGUCAACAUCAUGCUGAAAUGUUAACAGUGCUUUCACCUUGCUAAUGGAAGGCAUUGGACUAUACAAACUGGCAAAACUGAUACCAGCAAUUGCUAACUGCUGUUCAAUUACAUGUAUGUGCUCCAGAAACUGAGAAAAUAUGAUAACUUUCUGUGGAUUUAUAUUGCAGAAAUCAUUUGCUGGCCCAACCAAAUACUGCUGCGAUGAAAACAUGCUGAAAUUGUUUAUCCUAGUAUGUACAUGAGAUACACUAGUCUCAACAAUUUUGUCCUCGUUAGAGAUAAUAAUCAUCCUAUUAGCUUCCUUUAUUUCCUUUAAUCUACCAACAAGAUAAGCAACUUUACUGCUAGAUGUUGAUUG